Molecule: ribosomal RNA, 375 nt
Filed under: uncultured organism
Description: partial 16S ribosomal RNA
Rfam family: Bacterial small subunit ribosomal RNA
Source: RNAcentral
GUAGGGGCCAAGCGUUAUCCGGAUUUAUUGGGCGUAAAGAGCUCGUAGGCGGCUUGGCAAGUCGGUCGUGAAAGUCCGAGGCUCAACCUCGGAAUGCCGGUCGAAACUGCCAUGGCUAGGGUUUCGGUAGAGGAGAGUGGAAUUCUCGGUGUAGCGGUGAAAUGCGCAGAUAUCGAGAGGAACACCAGUAGCGAAGGCGGCUCUCUGGGCCGAUACCGACGCUGAGGAGCGAAAGCGUGGGGAGCAAACAGGGAUUAGAUACCCUGGUAGUCCACGCCGUAAACGGUGAUCACUAGGUGUGGCGGACUCAUUGACGUCUGCUGUGCCGGCGCUAACGCAUUAAGUGAUCCGCCUGGGAGUACGGCCGCAAGGCUA